CAAGACCUUGCGCUUUUUGAGCGGCCGAUGCCUGGUUAGCUAGUUGGUAAGGUAAUGGCUUACCAAGGCAACGAUCAGUAGCUGGUCUGAGAGGACGACCAGCCACACUGGGACUGAGACACGGCCCAGACUCCUACGGGAGGCAGCAGUGGGGAAUUUUGGACAAUGGGCGAAAGCCUGAUCCAGCCAUGCCGCGUGAGUGAAGAAGGCCUUCGGGUUGUAAAGCUCUUUCAGUUGGGUAGAAACGAUUGCAACUAAUAAUUGUAAUUAAUGACGGUACCGACAGAAGAAGCACCGGCUAACUACGUGCCAGCAGCCGCGGUAAUACGUAGGGUGCGAGCGUUAAUCGGAAUUACUGGGCGUAAAGGGUGCGCAGGCGGUUUUGUAAGUCAGAUGUGAAAUCCCCGGGCUUAACCUGGGAAUG
RNAcentral lists this ribosomal RNA (424 nucleotides) under uncultured Nitrosomonas sp. RNAcentral describes it as "bacterial SSU rRNA". It matches the Rfam family "Bacterial small subunit ribosomal RNA", at positions 207 to 622 of the family's 1533-position model. The record is from RNAcentral. Lineage: Bacteria; Pseudomonadati; Pseudomonadota; Betaproteobacteria; Nitrosomonadales; Nitrosomonadaceae.